GGUGUAGGCGGCUUGGCAAGUGUCCUGUGAAAGCCCACGGCUCAACCGUGGAACUGCAGGGCAAACUGUUAGGCUUGAGGUCGGUAGAGGUGCCUGGAACUCUAGGUGGAGCGGUGAAAUGCGUAGAUAUCUAGAGGAACGCCGGAGGCGAAAGCGGGGCACUGGGCCGAUCCUGACGCUGAGACCCGAAAGCGUGGGGAGCAAACAGGAUUAGAUACCCUGGUAGUCC
RNAcentral lists this ribosomal RNA (229 nucleotides) under uncultured bacterium. Its description in RNAcentral is "partial 16S ribosomal RNA". It matches the Rfam family "Bacterial small subunit ribosomal RNA", at positions 568 to 796 of the family's 1533-position model. The record is from RNAcentral.